CGUUUUCGAACGAUCGGCUGGUACCGAUGAUGUGAGGGCGAUCGAUGAGCCGCCUUUUUCCCCAAAAGUGGGCAUCAUGUGCCGCUGGCAAUGGCGUUUGGGUUCGGAUGUGGCCAUGUGACGGCAAAGUGAGGGAUGGUUCGCACGGAGACUGUCACUGCUGAUGACUUGUGUGUGUGUCUUCAAGAGAUCCACAACGAUGAACACAGUGUUGGAUACCAGCUGUGCUAAUUGCAUUGGCUGCUUGGCAUUGUGGGAAUAGGUAGGCGGGCAUUCAUUGUGCAGAGCGUGGUGGGCACAAAGAAUCACUGCAGCGCUGCAGGAGAUAUAGCUUGUUUGGUACUGAUCUCACAUGGUGUUUGGACUAUGAACAAGAAUAGCAGAAUUAGUGGUAUCAGUCUGUGUGCCAAAAAUGUCUGAGGGUUACAUGGCAACAGAAUUAUUCUCCCAAAUAGUGCCCUAAAACCCGGAAAACAAGUUUGAGGGAUCAGUGGCUACACUAGGAAGGAAUCAUGGACAGCAGCAUUGGUUGGAGGAAACGGAAGGGAGUCUUUGCUUCCACCACACUCCCAAGUAGAUAAGGAUUGAUUUCUUUUAUUUUACUUCUUUUCGAGCAAAUGGCUACUGAUAUAAAUGAGAAGAUGACAAAGAGAGAGGAUCCAAAGUGGAGGGGGUGCUGUGGGGUACGCCAUGUGUUUGAUGUUUUUCCUGUGGGCUCUUACGGUGUCAGAUUUACUUCAUACUUAGUUGUGGAGUAUGCUGGUUGGUGCACCCGCGUGCAAAAGGAAGCUACAAAGGGGGGAGAGCCCACCAACGAGGCGUGCAAAAGUUUGGUUUGAACAAGAAUAGCUUGUCAGAAUUGGAGAAAGAUUCCUCCGAAGAUCAAACCAAUGUGAUGAGUGAUUUAAUGCUGGAGGCUUUCAUCAAUGAGUCUGAAGAGGAUUAAGGGUUAUCAAUUCAUCCAACUGCAGUCUCAGCACAGUAGUCCACAAUUUUGGUUUACAGAUUUUGCAAUGCAACACAGCUGAACUCAAAAAGGAAAAGGAAAAGGGAAGAAAAGAAAGCGCAGAUUAUAUCAAACAUCAAAAAUGUGUUGAUGUCAGCAUGAAGAUCUCCUUUCAUGGUUUAUCUUGAUCCAUUUCCUGCACCAAUGGCCUCAUUCAUUUGCCCUGUUCUCAAACAUGAUACUGGUUUCAUUGUUCAGGCUCGAGGAGGAAGUCAUCAAAGCAGUGAUAGGGGUGAUUUCAGUUGCCAUGUUAGAACUUACGAAGAAAUUUGGGUGAGCUUUGCCUAUGUCAAAUGGGCCAUCUAAAAUUCAGCUCUUGUUUAACCAUGGAGAGAACGAAGCCAACUCACCAGUGUUGCAAGAUUUACAGACCUUCUUGAGGGAAUGUUCAGCGUUGUAGUAUUGUCUCAAUGAUUACAUUACAAUGCUGUACAUAAUGAAGCCUAACGUGUGAUGUGUCUGUGGGAAUCAUUAUGCAUGAUGCUGGUGAAAGUGAGACAUUUGAUGACUGAAUAAAAAUAAAAUGCAUAUCAUUAAUGG
Long non-coding RNA from Musa acuminata AAA Group (dessert banana), 1546 nucleotides. RefSeq lists it as uncharacterized. Lineage: Eukaryota; Viridiplantae; Streptophyta; Magnoliopsida; Zingiberales; Musaceae. The transcript is spliced from 2 exons. The record is from RefSeq and is a predicted model, not a curated record.